UCCCUGGUGGUCAGUGGUUAAGACUCUUGCUUCCAAUGCAAGGGCACAGGUUCAAUCCCUGGUCAGGGAA
This is a transfer RNA of Ovis aries (sheep), 70 nucleotides long. It matches the Rfam family "tRNA". From Rfam's summary of the family: Transfer RNA (tRNA) molecules are approximately 80 nucleotides in length. Lineage: Eukaryota; Metazoa; Chordata; Mammalia; Artiodactyla; Bovidae. The record is from Rfam.